This 101-nucleotide ribosomal RNA is filed under the name uncultured bacterium. Its description in RNAcentral is "partial 16S ribosomal RNA". It matches the Rfam family "Bacterial small subunit ribosomal RNA", at positions 1384 to 1482 of the family's 1533-position model. The record is from RNAcentral.
UACACACCGCCCGUCACACCAUGGGAGUCAGUUGCUCCAGAAGUGGCUUGCCUAACCCGUAAGGGAGGGCGGUCCCCAAGGAGUGGCUGGUGACUGGGGUG